AAGCACGGAUGCUUUCUAUGGGUCAAAGGAAAAGGGUACAGCUCGCCAGAUUGUUAGCAAUUGAUCGACCUAUUUGGUUGCUUGAUGAACCUUCAGUAGCAUUGGAUGACGAAGGUGUGAAAUUGCUAGAGUAUAUUAUUGCAGAGCACAGGAAAAAAGGUGGUAUUGUCAUUGUCGCCACCCAUCUGCCUAUUCAGAUCGAGGAUGCAAUGUUUUUAAGGUUGCCACCAAGGUUCCCUAGAAGGAUGA
This 249-nucleotide unclassified non-coding RNA is filed under the name Hevea brasiliensis (rubber tree). The record is from RNAcentral. Lineage: Eukaryota; Viridiplantae; Streptophyta; Magnoliopsida; Malpighiales; Euphorbiaceae.